Molecule: long non-coding RNA, 775 nt
Filed under: Pan troglodytes (chimpanzee)
Lineage: Eukaryota; Metazoa; Chordata; Mammalia; Primates; Hominidae
Description: lincRNA
Source: RNAcentral
ACAGGGACCCCUUGGGAGUCAUCUACAUAAGCUUUCUAAAACCUAACUUUUAAACAGCAGCAACAGUCAAACACAGUGGAUGUGGCGGGACCAUUCUCUUAUGAUAAGGUUUUGUACUUCUAAAAUAGGUUUCCUACUCAAAGUUCGGACCAUAAUUAAUCAGUCCUGGUUGGAGACUUAUACCAAAACUGCAAUAUAUGUGUGUUUUAAGCAUGAUUUAAACAUAACUUUUCUUUUCUUUUUUUAGAGACAGAGUCUCGCUCUGUUUCCCAGGCUGGAGCGCAGUGGCAUGAUCACAGCUCACGGCAGCCUUGACCACCUGGGCUCAAGCAAUCUUCCCACCUUAGCCUCCUGAGUAGCUGGGACCACAGGCACAUGCCACCAAGCCUGCCUAAUUUUUUUAUUUUUUUUGUAGAUGAAGGGUCUUGCUAUGUUGACCAGGCUGGUCUUGAACUCCUGGGCUCAAGCGAUCCUCCCACUUCAGCCUCCCAAAGUGCUGGGACUACAGACGUGAGCCACUGCACCCGGCCUAAACAUAGUUUUCCAAGCACACUAUGGUCAUUAUCUUUAAUUUAUGGGAGAAUUAAAGAGUUGAAAUGACUCUUCACUCUUUUGAAGUGGUAGCAACUAAAAAACAUAGUAGUUUUUUAGUUUUGGCAGUAGUUAUGGCAGAGAGAUUGGAACCACUGGAUGCUGGACUUCUGGGGCAUGAUGGCUCACUCGAUAGAGAGAGAGCACUACGGAAGGGAGCCCCAUUCCCAAGCAUGGUGUCCAA